This 306-nucleotide small RNA is filed under the name uncultured bacterium. Its description in RNAcentral is "bacterial SSU rRNA". It matches the Rfam family "Bacterial small subunit ribosomal RNA", at positions 62 to 358 of the family's 1533-position model. The record is from RNAcentral.
UCGAGCGAACCUUUAAAAGCUUGCUUUUAAAGGUUAGCCGCGGACGGGUGAGUAACACGUGGGCAACCUGCCUAUAAGACUGGGAUAACUUCGGGAAACCGGAGCUAAUACCGGAUCAUUCUUUUCUAUACAUGUAGGAAAGCUGAAAGACGGUUUACGCUGUCACUUAUAGAUGGGCCCGCGGCGCAUUAGCUAGUUGGUGAGGUAACGGCUCACCAAGGCGACGAUGCGUAGCCGACCUGAGAGGGUGAUCGGCCACACUGGGACUGAUACACGGCCCAGACUCCUACGGGAGGCAGCAGUGGG